UGCACUCACUACUGUAAGUCGCUCUGGAUAAGAGCAUCUGCUAAAUGACUUAAA
Non-coding RNA from Salmo salar (Atlantic salmon), 54 nucleotides. NCBI's taxonomy places the organism in Eukaryota, Metazoa, Chordata, Actinopteri, Salmoniformes, Salmonidae. The record is from Rfam.